GUUUAACACAUGCAAGUCGAACGGAAACGAAAAUAGCUUGCUAUUUGGCGUCGAGUGGCGAACGGGUGAGUAACGCGUAGGAAUCUACCCAGUAGAGGGGGAUAGCCCGAAGAAAUUCGGAUUAAUACCGCAUAAUCUCUACGGAGUAAAGAAGGCCUCUUUACAAUGCUUUUACUAUUGGAUGAGCCUGCGUUAGAUUAGUUAGUUGGUAGGGUAAAAGCCUACCAAGGCGACGAUCUAUAGCUGGUUUUACGAGAAUGAUCAGCCACACUGGAACUGAGACACGGUCCAGACUCCUACGGGAGGCAGCAGUGAAGAAUAUUGGACAAUGGGGGAAACCCUGAUCCAGCAAUGUUGCGUGUGUGAAGAAGGUCCGAGGAUUGUAAAGCACUUUCAGUAAGCAAGAAAAAUGUAAAUCUAAUAGAUUUGCAUGUUGACCACUUAUAGAAGAAGCACCGGCUAACUCCGUGCCAGCAGCCGCGGUAAUACGGAGGGUGCGAGCGUUAAUCGGAAUUACUGGGCGUAAAGGGUAAGUAGGCGGUUUAUAAAGUCACAUGUGAAAGCCCUAGGCUUAACCUAGGA
Molecule: ribosomal RNA, 582 nt
Filed under: uncultured bacterium
Lineage: Bacteria
Description: bacterial SSU rRNA
Rfam family: Bacterial small subunit ribosomal RNA
Source: RNAcentral